GUGUCAGCAGCCGCGGUAAGACGAACCGUGCGAACGUUGUUCGGAAUCACUGGGCUUAAAGGGCGCGUAGGCGGACCACCAAGUCCGGGGUGAAAUCCUCCGGCUUAACCGGAGAAUUGCCUGGGAUACUGGUGGUCUUGAGGGAGGUAGGGGCACGCGGAACUUCCGGUGGAGCGGUGAAAUGCGUUGAUAUCGGAAGGAACGCCGGUGGCGAAAGCGGCGUGCUGGCCCUCUUCUGACGCUGAGGCGCGAAAGCCAGGGGAGCGAACGGGAUUAGAUACCCCGGUAGUCCUGGCCCUAAACGAUGGGUACUAGGUAGUGGACUUGACAUGGGUUCACUGCCGGAGCAAAAGUGUUAAGUACCCCGCCUGGGGAGUAUGGUCGCAAGGCUGAA
Molecule: ribosomal RNA, 394 nt
Filed under: uncultured bacterium
Lineage: Bacteria
Description: bacterial SSU rRNA
Rfam family: Bacterial small subunit ribosomal RNA
Source: RNAcentral